GAUGAAGAACGCAGCGAAAUGCGAUACGUAAUGUGAAUUGCAGAAUUCAGUGAAUCAUCGAGUCUUUGAACGCACAUUGCGCCCCCUGAUAUUCCGGGGGGCAUGCCUGUCCGAGCGUCAUUGCUGCCCUCAAGCACGGCUUGUGUGUUGGGCCUCCGUCCUCCUCCCGGGGGACGGGCCCGAAAGGCAGCGGCGGCACCGCGUCCGGUCCUCGAGCGUAUGGGGCUUCGUCACCCGCUCUUGUAGGCCCGGCCGGCGCUUGCCGACACAUCAAUCUUUUUUCCAGGUUGACCUCGGAUCAGGUAGGGAUACCCGCUGAACUUAAGCAUAUCAAUAAGCGGAGGA
Molecule: unclassified non-coding RNA, 345 nt
Filed under: soil metagenome
Description: partial contains 5.8S ribosomal RNA, internal transcribed spacer 2, and large subunit ribosomal RNA
Rfam family: 5.8S ribosomal RNA (bases 1-120)
Source: RNAcentral